UGCCUACGGGGGGCAGCAGUCGGGAAUAUUGCGCAAUGGAGGAAACUCUGACGCAGUGACGCCGCGUGCAGGAAGAAGGUUUUCGGAUUGUAAACUGCUUUAGACAGGGAAGAAAAAAGACAGUACCUGUAGAAUAAGCUCCGGCUAACUACGUGCCAGCAGCCGCGGUAAUACGUAGGGAGCAAGCGUUAUCCGGAUUUAUUGGGUGUAAAGGGAGCGUAGACGGCUGCGCAAGUCAGAAGUGAAAGCCCGGGGCUCAACCGCGGGACUGCUUUUGAAAC
RNAcentral lists this ribosomal RNA (281 nucleotides) under uncultured bacterium. Its description in RNAcentral is "partial 16S ribosomal RNA". It matches the Rfam family "Bacterial small subunit ribosomal RNA", at positions 335 to 633 of the family's 1533-position model. The record is from RNAcentral.